This is a long non-coding RNA of Lactuca sativa (garden lettuce), 565 nucleotides long. RefSeq lists it as uncharacterized. Lineage: Eukaryota; Viridiplantae; Streptophyta; Magnoliopsida; Asterales; Asteraceae. The record is from RefSeq and is a predicted model, not a curated record.
AUUUUCCUUUCUCCAAUCAACCGAGUCAGGGACAUUAUCGUCAUUUGCAUACAUGAAACCCUUACUUCCAAUACGCUCUCCUUUCAGCAUCCGGUGAUGGCUUAUCUUUGAUCCAGCAUACAUGCUUCUAAACUCAUGGUUGAACUUGAACACAUUGAACCGCUUGAGUUUCUCUUGGCGGCUUAUCUCCGCCACAUGGUGGUGGCUCCUCCACCUCCGGUACAAAUCCCACAAACUCUCCUCUGUUUCAAGCUCUUUCUCGCUAUAAUCAAAUCCCUUCACAAAGCCUAGAACCAAAAACAAAGUAAACGAAAAUAAAACUAAGUUAUUGAUUUCCAUUUCUUACUACUUUUCUUAGAUAUUGAUUGGGAUUGAAAGUUAUGAACUUGGUGAUUGGUUUAUAUAGAGGAGACUGAUUGCUAAUGAGAUUAAAUGAUUAGAGGUUGAGUGCAUGAGAGGUGACUUAUGGCCAUGAAACACACUCAAUGGAAGUAAAUUGUAUUUUCUACUUUCUAUUCUAAUGUUGAAAACUAAAUAAGAUAAUAUGACACUUGUUGAACUCUCA